Aegilops tauschii subsp. strangulata is the source of this 1128-nucleotide long non-coding RNA. RefSeq lists it as uncharacterized. Lineage: Eukaryota; Viridiplantae; Streptophyta; Magnoliopsida; Poales; Poaceae. The record is from RefSeq and is a predicted model, not a curated record.
UCCUUCCUUUUUUCGUUUGAUUGCCGCGUCGGAGACUAGUUUCUAGUGCUUGAUCUGGAGCACUUGGUGCUCAUCUUUAGUGGCUUCUUACAACAGCUUAGGCUGCUCCGCUGCUGAUUGUUCUGAUUGAAGGGCGGCCCUUUUCCUCCCUUCAAUGAUGUCGAAAGGGAGGCAGGUCUGGUUUCGUCCCAACGUCCGUCUCUUCUCCUUCCAGUCAACGACAAAGCAACAACGAGAUCCCCUUGCAAGUUGUUUGUCCCCGGUGAGGGGUGGUGUUGGUAUACUGAUGAAGCUUGAUGAUGGUGGAUAAUGGUUCACAUUGCAAUCUUCAUCUUGCGUCGAGGGUCUUUUCUUUAAAGGUUUUGGACUGAGUUGUAAUUUUGCAUUCCAUUGGGGUCCUUUCUCAGCUUUCCGGCAAUGCAAAUCUUAAGGCAGCUGUUCGAGGUCCUUCUGGACCGUUUAAAAAAAACAGUAUUCAGCAUUUUUCACACGCACGGUUGCCAGAGCGAGAGCUCCACUGCCUGGAGUUCACCAUAAAACGCUCCCCCAAGGCCUUCAGUCAACGUCGCCGCUAAUCUUGGUUGCAGCGUUUUUGCUUGCAAUCAUCUCUCUGAAUCUUCAGUCUCCACAGAUCUCUGAGAUUCUAGGCGUUGCGGCUGUGUUCUUCGCGCACCUAUUUUUCAUCCGCUUUACAUCCGUGCUGCACAGGCGCUGUGGAGGAUGAAUCACAGGUCAGCAAUUGACGUGGUGGCAGAGUAGCGCAGCAUCGCUCCCUCAGGUGCACAGGAAGAACUUCGAACCGGUAGCAGCAAGCCAACACGAUGAUGGAGAUCGAGUACUGCUACUAUACUACUAGCACAUGCAGGAGUGCUUCUGUUUCCCAGCUACUAGUACCUAUAUGUUGCUCUUGUGAACAAAUAAUAAGAGAUGGACAUGUCGUGUGAUGUGUAGUUAUCUAUCUAGUAGUACUCCUUGUAAGCUUGAUUCAAUGCUGUAACUACGGCAGCAGUUUGGUACUUUGGUUACUCUGAAGUCUGAACCGGACUUGUGGCUGUGCGCAUACUAUAUAACUUGACGUACACGCUGUGAUGAAGGGUUUCCAUUCUAUGUAACCAUAUGUCAUUUCAA